AUUUUUGAAACUACGGGAUAAGAUGUGCUUGGGCUCAUUUAUUGCGGGAAGUGUUGACAUUUUUAUUGGUACCAUUUUUGGGUACAUAUGAUUUUUUUGAUCGUUCAACAUUACACUUUUUUGGGACAAGGUGAGAAAAGAAGAUGGCUGAUUUUGCGCAGAUUUUAU
Long non-coding RNA from Bufo bufo (common toad), 168 nucleotides. RefSeq lists it as uncharacterized. The record is from RefSeq and is a predicted model, not a curated record. The transcript has 3 exons. NCBI's taxonomy places the organism in Eukaryota, Metazoa, Chordata, Amphibia, Anura, Bufonidae.